Molecule: long non-coding RNA, 1763 nt
Organism: Bacillus rossius redtenbacheri
Lineage: Eukaryota; Metazoa; Arthropoda; Insecta; Phasmatodea; Bacillidae
Exons: 2
Source: RefSeq, a predicted model, not a curated record
UGGUGGAGGCGCCGGGUAGGUUCUAUUUCUGGAGAGAGAGAGAGGUAGAUUUUUAUGUUUAUUAUUAAAUUAGUUUCAGCUUCUGAUAGCAGGUUAUUAAGAGUUUACUUGAGGAGAGGAUUACGGAAUUUUAGUCUAUAGUGGAGGAAGUCUUUGAGAUUUUUUUUUUGACGUAACAGAUGUUUAUUUGAGGAUACUUGUAAGGAUAAAGUUUAUAGUGAUAAGUUGUUUUAAGUCGUUGAAUUUAUUGUAGAUUUAUAUCGGGGAUUAUUACGUGAGGAGAAUACGUUAUAAGUUAAAUGCUUAUUAGAGAUAAUGCAAGUGGUUUAAUUUAAUUGAAGUUCAUUUUAAGAUUGUAGGUUAAGAGAAUUAUAAUUUAAAAUAAAAAUUUUUUGUCGUAAAUAGGAAUUAUUUUCAAGUGAAGUUUGUUUUGUUGUCGUGCGCGUAGGAGACGAGACGUACGAAUUAAAUCAGUCGAGGGAAGGAUAAACGUUAGAAAGGAAUUAAAGAGAAAACGAGAGUUUAUGUAAAAGAGAGUUAUAGAAUUUAUAGUGAUGUUUUGUUUUAAUUAGAAAAAUGUUGAGAGUUGUUUCAGAACGACACGUCAGUGGACGUGGCAGAAUGAACACGUGACGGGGAGGUGCUGAGACCUAGCGGAGAACGGAGGAACCGCAAGCGAGGGUUGGCGCACCUGAUGGAAUUCGGUGACGUCACGGGCUCAUACGGAGACGUGGAAGGCCGUGACCUUGUUUUGAUCAGCUGUACGGUAACUUAGCGAUAAGAAAAUAGACUAUUGGUUAAAUAAAUUUAAAUUUAAGUGUGUUUUAGAAGAAGAGGAACUUUCAGUAUAUUCCUUAAGAUGAGCUGAGCAGCAGUCCAGUUUACAAGAUGACAAGAGUUCGAGAGACAAGAUACAAGAUCACUGAAACAAGAGCCAAGACUGAAGAUUCAAGAGAAGAGAAAGCUGGCAGCCAUGGACUUACAAGUGGAGAUUAAUAAGGUCAUGUAAAGUUUUAUUUUUAUUAUGGAAGACAGUAACUGGAGUUUUUUUUUGUUAUAAACAUUAUUUACAGAACUUUUUAGGUUAUAGUAAUGUAAUGGAACUAGUGAGUUGUGGUAGCUGUCAAAAAGAACUAAUACCUUAAGUUUAAUUUUUAAAGUUAAUUUUCUUAAUUUACAGAGGGAUUAGUAGUUUUUUUUAAAACCUUAUUUAGGUUGGAAUUUAAAUACAAUAGCUUAUUAUAAAUGUGUACGAACAGUUCAAGUUCACAGUACUGAUAGGUAGGUCAGAUGAUCUUAUUGAUUUUGAUGAUUUGUUGUUUUGAGUUGAUUUUUAAGUGUUGUGAAUUAGACAAUGAAAUAGUUCUGAAAACUUAAAUUAUUUCAAGCUAAGAAAUAGUAAAGUUAAUUGUAACUCAAAGGACACCAGAAUUUAAUUUUUUUUUGAAUUAGUAAUGUUUGAAAAUUUUAUACUUUACAAGAAAGGUUAUAAACAAACAGAUCGGAUGGAACAAGGAUGCAGUAAAUCACAAUUUCAUUUAGAAUUAUUGAUUAGCUUUUGAGGUUAUGAAGUAAAAGUAAUUAUAGUUUAAAAGUUUGAAUAAAAAAAAAUGUUUUUUUUUAUUUGUUUCAAAUAGAAAGUUUAAAAGUUAAUUAGUCAUGAUCUAGGUGGGUGAUGGGGUGGGAAUUGGCCACUCUUUUUCCCUAUAACCUCCCUAACAUGGCCUUCUAUUACAUCUAACAGAAAAAAAAAAGAAGAAAAA